Molecule: ribosomal RNA, 450 nt
Filed under: uncultured bacterium
Lineage: Bacteria
Description: partial 16S ribosomal RNA
Rfam family: Bacterial small subunit ribosomal RNA
Source: RNAcentral
GUGGGGAAUAUUCCGCAAUGGACGAAAGUCUGACGGAGCAACGCCGCGUGAGUGAUGAAGGUUUUCGGACUGUAAAGCUCUGUUGUUUAGGACGAAAGUGCCUGUUGCAAAUAGUAACAGGUAUUGACGGUACUGAACGAGGAAGCCACGGCUAACUACGUGCCAGCAGCCGCGGUAAUACGUAGGUGGCAAGCGUUGUCCGGAAUUAUUGGGCGUAAAGAGCAUGUAGGCGGGAAUCUAAGUCUGUUGUGAAAAUGCGGGGCUCAACCCCGUAUUGCGAUGGAAACUGGGUUUCUUGAGUGCAGGAGAGGAAAGGGGAAUUCCCAGUGUAGCGGUGAAAUGCGUAGAUAUUGGGAGGAACACCAGUGGCGAAGGCGCCUUUCUGGACUGUGUCUGACGCUGAGAUGUGAAAGCCAGGGUAGCGAACGGGAUUAGAAACCCCGGUAGUCC